Molecule: ribosomal RNA, 492 nt
Filed under: uncultured bacterium
Lineage: Bacteria
Description: partial 16S ribosomal RNA
Rfam family: Bacterial small subunit ribosomal RNA
Source: RNAcentral
AGUGAACGCUGGCGGUAGGCCUAACACAUGCAAGUCGAACGGCAGCACAGUAAGAGCUUGCUCUUACGGGUGGCGAGUGGCGGACGGGUGAGGAAUACAUCGGAAUCUACUUUUUCGUGGGGGAUAACGUAGGGAAACUUACGCUAAUACCGCAUACGACCUACGGGUGAAAGCAGGGGAUCUUCGGACCUUGCGCGAUUGAAUGAGCCGAUGUCGGAUUAGCUAGUUGGCGGGGUAAAGGCCCACCAAGGCGACGAUCCGUAGCUGGUCUGAGAGGAUGAUCAGCCACACUGGAACGGAGACACGGUCCAGACUCCUACGGGAGGCAGCAGUGGGGAAUAUUGGACAAUGGGCGCAAGCCUGAUCCAGCCAUACCGCGUGGGUGAAGAAGGCCUUCGGGUUGUAAAGCCCUUUUGUUGGGAAAGAAAAGCAGCAGGUUAAUACCCCGCUGUUCUGACGGUACCCAAAGAAUAAGCACCGGCUAACUCCGUG